Thunnus maccoyii (southern bluefin tuna) is the source of this 632-nucleotide long non-coding RNA. RefSeq lists it as uncharacterized. NCBI's taxonomy places the organism in Eukaryota, Metazoa, Chordata, Actinopteri, Scombriformes, Scombridae. The transcript has 3 exons. The record is from RefSeq and is a predicted model, not a curated record.
CUGCUGCACUGCUAAUAUGCUAACUGCUGAAGACACCUGCUGCUACCUGCUGCUCACUGUUGCUGGAAGUGGAGUUUACCUGUCCUGCUGUCAGCUUUGGAUCAUUGUGUGUCACUGCUUCACAUCACCAAGAUGGAGCCGGUUUACCACUCUCCACUGAGCACUGGAUGAAAAUCAGUCACAGUAGAAAGAAAAGUGACAACCUUGGCAGAGAUGGCCUUCGUCUUCUGAACAACAGAUUGCAACCCACAUGGUCCUGUGCAGGGAAGGCUGCCUCAGCUUUUUAACCGGCAUCUGCUCUCUGUUCUAUGUUCUCUGUUCUCUGUUUGAUCCCCAGCAUGGCACAGCACUUCUUCUAUUAUGUUACCAAACUGCGAUAUGGCAGCUAUGACACAACAUGUCCCCCUGGCAUCAGGUCUACUCCCCUAAAAUCUCAAGUGCCACUUCACAGACGUGUGGCUAAUUUGGAGCAGCGAAUCAAGAAGUCACAGAGCAGAUCAUGUUGCAAAACACACAGCCAUGCAAGGCUUUUCUGUGGGCCAGUGGCUAGGUAGAAAGAAAAAAAAAAUCUGUGUCUGCUUUGAAGAUGAUUCCAAAUGAAAUCUGUGCCAGUUAAAGCUCCUUUGAAAAUG